UUAAGUUAAUAAGGGCGCACGGUGGAUGCCUUGGCACUAGAAGCCGAAGAAGGACGUGACAAACGACGAAAUGCUUUGGGGAGCUGUAAGUAAGCGCUGAUCCAGAGAUGUCCGAAUGGGGGAACCCACUAACUAAUGGUUAGUAUCCAUAACUGUUAAGGUUAUGAGAAGGAAGACGCAGUGAACUGAAACAUCUAAGUAGCUGCAGGAAGAGAAAGCAAACGCGAUUGCCUUAGUAGCGGCGAGCGAAACGGCAGGAGGGCAAACCGAAGUGUUUACACUUCGGGGUUGUAGGACUGCGACGUGGGACUUUAAAAGGAUAGAAGAAUUACCUGGGAAGGUAAGCCAAAGAGAGUAAAAGCCUCGUAUUUAAAAUUCUUUUGAGCCCUAGCAGUAUCCUGAGUACGGCGAGACACGUGAAAUCUCGUUGGAAUCUGGGAGGACCAUCUCCCAACCCUAAAUACUCUCUAGUGACCGAUAGUGAACCAGUACCGUGAGGGAAAGGUGAAAAGCACCCCGGGAGGGGAGUGAAAUAGAACCUGAAACCGUGUGCCUACAACAAGUUCGAGCCCGUUAAUGGGUGAGAGCGUGCCUUUUGUAGAAUGAACCGGCGAGUUACGAUAUGAUGCGAGGUUAAGUUGAAGAGACGGAGCCGUAGGGAAACCGAGUCUUAAUAGGGCGAUUUAGUAUCAUGUUGUAGACCCGAAACCAUGUGACCUACCCAUGAGCAGGUUGAAGGUGAGGUAAAACUCACUGGAGGACCGAACCAGGGCACGUUGAAAAGUGCUUGGAUGACUUGUGGGUAGCGGAGAAAUUCCAAACGAACUUGGAGAUAGCUGGUUCUCUCCGAAAUAGCUUUAGGGCUAGCGUCGAUGUUAAGUCUCUUGGAGGUAGAGCACUGUUUGGGUGAGGGGUCCAUCUCGGAUUACCAAUCUCAGAUAAACUCCGAAUGCCAACGAGAUAUCAUCGGCAGUCAGACUGCGAGUGCUAAGAUCCGUAGUCGAAAGGGAAACAGCCCAGACCACCAGCUAAGGUCCCAAAAUAACUGUUAAGUGGAAAAGGAUGUGGGGUUGCACAGACAACUAGGAUGUUAGCUUAGAAGCAGCUAUUCAUUCAAAGAGUGCGUAAUAGCUCACUAGUCGAGUGACCCUGCGCCGAAAAUGUACCGGGGCUAAAACAGUUUACCGAAGCUGUGGAUGACACAAAAGUGUCAUGGUAGGAGAGCGUUCUAUGUGUGAAGAAGGUGUACCGUGAGGAGCGCUGGAACGCAUAGAAGUGAGAAUGCCGGUAUGAGUAGCGAAAGACAGGUGAGAAUCCUGUCCACCGUAAGACUAAGGUUUCCAGGGGAAGGCUCGUCCGCCCUGGGUUAGUCGGGACCUAAGGAGAGACCGAAAGGUGUAUCCGAUGGCCAACAGGUUGAUAUUCCUGUACUAGAGUAUAUAGUGAUGGAGGGACGCAGUAGGCUAACUAAACCGGACGAUUGGAAGAGUCCGGCUAAGCAGUGAGGUGUAAGAUGAGUCAAAUGCUUAUCUUUAUAACAUUGAGCUGUGAUGGGGAGCGAAUUUUAGUAGCGAAGUUAGUGAUGUCACACUGCCAAGAAAAGCUUCUAGCGUUUAAUGAUACUCUACCCGUACCGCAAACCGACACAGGUAGUCGAGGCGAGUAGCCUCAGGUGAUCGAGAGAACUCUCGUUAAGGAACUCGGCAAAAUGACCCCGUAACUUCGGGAGAAGGGGUGCUGACUUAGGUCAGCCGCAGUGAAUAGGCCCAAGCAACUGUUUAUCAAAAACACAGCUCUCUGCUAAAUCGUAAGAUGAUGUAUAGGGGGUGACGCCUGCCCGGUGCUGGAAGGUUAAGAGGAGGGUUUAGCGCAAGCGAAGAUCUGAAUUGAAGCCCCAGUAAACGGCGGCCGUAACUAUAACGGUCCUAAGGUAGCGAAAUUCCUUGUCGGGUAAGUUCCGACCCGCACGAAAGGCGUAAUGAUUUGGGCACUGUCUCAACGAGAGACUCGGUGAAAUUUUAGUACCUGUGAAGAUGCAGGUUACCCGCGACAGGACGGAAAGACCCCAUGGAGCUUUACUGCAGUUUGAUAUUGAGUAUCUGU
This 2103-nucleotide ribosomal RNA is filed under the name Streptococcus pyogenes ABC020047993. RNAcentral describes it as "bacterial LSU rRNA". It matches the Rfam family "Bacterial large subunit ribosomal RNA", at positions 3 to 2128 of the family's 2925-position model. Lineage: Bacteria; Bacillati; Bacillota; Bacilli; Lactobacillales; Streptococcaceae. The record is from RNAcentral.